This is a non-coding RNA of Mycena belliarum, 81 nucleotides long. Lineage: Eukaryota; Fungi; Basidiomycota; Agaricomycetes; Agaricales; Mycenaceae. The record is from the annotation of a GenBank genome assembly.
GGUUGUGUAGUGUAGCGGUUAUCACACCAGAUUCUGAUACAAGGAUUUCUGGUGACCCCGGUUCGAUUCCGGGCACGACCU